AUAACAUCGCCUCUUGCAAAAAUCAACGUAUAAGAGGUCCUACCUGCCCAGUGACUUAGUUUAACGGCCGCGGUAUUUUGACCGUGCAAAGGUAGCGUAAUCACUUGUCUUUUAAAUAAAGGCCUGUAUGAAUGGUGAAACGAGGGCUUAACUGUCUCCCUUUUCUGAUCAGUGAAAUUGAUCUGCCCGUGCAGAAGCGGACAUAAAUUUACAAGACGAGAAGACCCUAUGGAGCUUUAGACAUGAACCCACCUAUGUUAAAACCCCCUCAAUAAAGGGACAAAACAAUAUAGUAAUUGAUUAAUGUCUUCGGUUGGGGCGACCACGGGGGAAAAUUAAUCCCCCAUGCGGAACGGAGACUCUCCAAACCCCGAGGCACACCUCUAAGUCACAGAAUUUCUGACCAAAAGAUCCGGCACUAGCCGAUCAACGAACCAAGUUACCCUAGGGAUAACAGCGCUAUCCCCUUCAAGAGUCCUUAUCGACAAGGGGGUUUACGACCUCGAUGUUGGAUCAGGACAUCCUAAUGGUGCAGCCGCUAUUAAGGGUUCGUUUGUUCAACGAUUAAAGUCCUACGUGAUCUG
This 584-nucleotide ribosomal RNA is filed under the name Hemigrammus collettii. Its description in RNAcentral is "Moenkhausia collettii partial 16S ribosomal RNA". It matches the Rfam family "Bacterial large subunit ribosomal RNA", at positions 1810 to 2607 of the family's 2925-position model. Lineage: Eukaryota; Metazoa; Chordata; Actinopteri; Characiformes; Acestrorhamphidae. The record is from RNAcentral.